This 465-nucleotide ribosomal RNA is filed under the name uncultured bacterium. Its description in RNAcentral is "partial 16S ribosomal RNA". It matches the Rfam family "Bacterial small subunit ribosomal RNA", at positions 28 to 507 of the family's 1533-position model. The record is from RNAcentral.
GACGAACGCUGGCGGCGUGCUUAACACAUGCAAGUCGAACGGAAAGGCCCUGCUUGCAGGGUACUCGAGUGGCGAACGGGUGAGUAACACGUGGGUGAUCUGCCCUGCACUUCGGGAUAAGCUUGGGAAACUGGGUCUAAUACCGGAUAGGAGCCAUCUUUAGUGUGGUGGUUGGAAAGUUUUUUCGGUGUAGGAUGAGCUCGCGGCCUAUCAGCUUGUUGGUGGGGUAAUGGCCUACCAAGGCGGCGACGGGUAGCCGGCCUGAGAGGGUGGACGGCCACAUUGGGACUGAGAUACGGCCCAGACUCCUACGGGAGGCAGCAGUGGGGAAUAUUGCACAAUGGGCGCAAGCCUGAUGCAGCGACGCCGCGUGGGGGAUGAAGGCCUUCGGGUUGUAAACUCCUUUCGCUAGGGACGAAGCUUUUUGUGACGGUACCUAGAGAAGAAGCACCGGCUAACUACGUG